UCUGAUGAGUGAUUGAUUUGUAGGUGGUGGUGGGGGUUGUGGUGGAUGUUAUGGUGAAGGAUGAGAUGAGGCAGAGAGGAGGGAGAGAAGAGCGUACGAGAGAGAGAGGGAGAGAAGAGAGAGAAAAAAACAUGGCAAAUGAAAAAAAAUUGGGAAAAGAGAAAUAUAUAUUUCACUGGGUCCAAUGCAUGUGAUACAUAUAGCUAGUCAUGUGGAAGCUUCUGGGUACCUCAUCUGCAUCACAAUUCACAACUCACACACUUGUCUUGUAAAGCUUUGCAUGUGUGACAUAUAGAUGAUUUCAAAGUUGCAUGUGGAACAUGAUCAUUGGGCCAAGACAAGCACAUGGUGGCAAUACACAAUUGGACAUGAGGCAAGAUGUGAAACAUUCAUUGGCCAAAUAAUUAGGGUUUGCAAUUCGGGUUUCCAAAUCUACGAUCUUUUAUGUAUAUUAUAGAUUAUAG
This 464-nucleotide long non-coding RNA is filed under the name Trifolium pratense (red clover). Its description in RNAcentral is "long non-coding RNA (TPRA_LNC012780)". Lineage: Eukaryota; Viridiplantae; Streptophyta; Magnoliopsida; Fabales; Fabaceae. The record is from RNAcentral.